Bos taurus (domestic cattle) is the source of this 2411-nucleotide long non-coding RNA. Lineage: Eukaryota; Metazoa; Chordata; Mammalia; Artiodactyla; Bovidae. The record is from Ensembl.
AAAUAAACUUGUUAAGCUCACAAGAAUCAUCCUGACCAGGCCCACCUGUGAAUGGUUGCAGGCAAGAAGAAAUUAACACAUCCCUUUCCGGAGUCUGGCUGGAACCAGAACUUUAGCCCCUCCUCUUUCAGUGUAAAAGAAGCCUGAUUCCUAACUCCGGAAACAUGGUUCUUUGGGACACUAGAGCGUCAUCUUCUGGGUCUGCUGGCUUUCCAAAUCAAGUUGCAAUUCCUUGUCCCAACAACUCAUCUCUUGAUUUAUUGGUCCAUUGUGCAGUGACCAGUAUCAGAUCAGACCAGUAUAAGCUUGGACUCAGUAAAAAACUUUAGUAGAGCCAGCCAGGAGACUAACUGCUUGUGGACAGCCAACCCUGGUUAGGGAAUUUUCCAGUAAGGCCCUAGCAGCUGCUGGGACCACUUGUCUUGAGGAUCUGCCCUUCAGAAUUUCCUAAAGCAGCACUGGCUGCCUCAGUACAUGGCAGCUGGAAUAAGGGAUCAGCAUUUGGUAGUCGACGGGCUCAAUGCAAUAGGAACCAGGGUGGCCUGGCACAGAUGCACUGAUGAGGGAUGCACUAAAAGCAGCUACAAGUGGCUGCAUCAGGAAGGAUCAAGGGCAGGCUGCAGCAACGGGCCAACACAAGGACGUCAUCUCACCAAGGGCUGCGUUUGAGGUAGGGCUACUCAAAUUAGGUGAAAGCCCUAAGAAUUGCCUGGUCUCUGGAGCAGCGUCAGCAAGGGACAGCUUCGUGCUGGGCAGGCUGACCAGGUGCUGGAAAGGUACAAGGCUUGGCAAUGAGGUUUGCAAUCCUGUUGGCAAUUUUCUACAACUUUUUAAACUGGGACAGCUUAAUUAGAAUCCUGACUUCUCUCUUCUCCAUCAGCAAUUUGCUCAAGUUUUGAAAAACAUCAUUAAAACAAAGGAUGCAGACAAGGAAGAGGACUGACAAUUAGCAUAAGAACCUUUCUAAAAGGUCAGCAUCCCACAUACCAGGACUUAUUAAGAAGAAUGAAGGAAUAGAGACAAAACUGAAACAGAAGUGGAGCCCCCAGCUCUUCUCUUCUGUGACCUACCCACACACACUGAUAAAGUUAAUUAUCUGCCCUGGCUAAAUGACUUUCCCUAGCAACACCCUAGCAACUAACAUCAGCUCUGCCUUAGGCUACAAAACUGGAAAGAGAUUUCUUGAAGUCCAGUGUAUUUUACAACAGAACGAAACAUCUGAACAGGAAAUUAAACAGAAAGUAAACUGGAUUCAUUGCUAGGAGAUGAGACAUAGACAUACGAGACAGUUUACAACAAUCUACUGAACGCAAUAGUCAAAAUAAGAAACUUUCUUCUCACAAGUUAUACUGAAGUCCGGAGGAGAGACUGCAAGACUUCAUUCCAUGGAGAAGAAGAGAAUUUCAAUGGGCAGAAAAAGGGAAGACAUCCUAGGUGAUGGGAAAGCUAUAAACAAAGUUUGCCAAUUCUGAAAGUGGGGAAUACAGGGGAUCCAGCUGGGGAGCACUGAGAGCUCAGUCUGGAAUCUAUGACCAGAUCAUGGAGGGCCUUGAAGUUCACUUGAAGAACCUGGGCUGCAUCAGAGGGUCCUGGGAGGCUGUUAUUCACAGAACAAAUACUUAUGGAGCCAGGCACCAUGAUGUGCAUGGAGGACACAGUGGUGAGCCCCAGAGACAGUACCAGUCCUUAUGGAUACUGGAAUCUAGUGAUGGAGACAGUGAACAAACACCAAAUGUAAAAGUCAAACAUAAAAGUGACCAUAUGAUUAUAACACAACAUUUCCCUGGUGGCUGCUAAAGAGUCUGCCUGCAAUGUGGGAAACCUAGGUUCGAUCCCUGCAUUGGGAAGAUCCCCUGGAGAAAGGAAGAUAAUUAUAAAUCUUGAGACUAUUAAGAAGAAGAUAUCAAGUUCCAGGAGAGCAUAUAAAGAGGGGCAGGACCUAUUCAGGGAAAUCUGGAAGGACUUCUCUGGGGAAGCAGUUUUGCGCUGAGAUCUGAAGGAUGAGUAGAAGUUGGUUGGGAGAGGACGGUGGGUGGGGGAGACAAAAGCACUGGAUUCUAGGCAGAGAGAACCACACAGACAAAAGUUCAUAAAACUGAAAAGCCAUGGUGGCCAGAGAUCAUGAGAGAAGGGGCGCGUGGCCUUGAGAGGCAGAUCAAGCAGAGCCUCAGAGGCCACAUUAAAGAUUCUUUGUUUUGAGAACCCCAAAAAGCCAGUGGAAAAGGAUUUUAACUGAGGGAUUGACAUUCUAGUCUGCAUUUUAAAAAGGAUCACUCAGACUUCAGUUCAGAAGAUGCACUGGAGGAGAGAAAGAGUAGACAUGGGCAGCCCAGUUAGGAGGCUGAGAGAUGAUGGCAGCUCAGACUGGUGUGGUACCAGAGGAGAUGGCAAAAAAUGGACACAUAUUACAG